AUUCUGGGGUUCGUUUAGAGGUAAGUUUGGGUGCUCCGUCGCUUUGGAGGGUAACGUUUUGCCGAGAGCGGGCCGGGGGAACGGGGUGGUUUCGGAUUUAAUGGGCAGCCACGUUUUUCCCUAAUGCGGCUGCGUCCUGCGACAACUUUGAAACGUUUAAAGGCGACCCGUACUGAUUACACCUUCCUCCUUUUGUGUUCCUUUUACCCCAGGUUGAAUUUUCUCGGAGAAAGACAGGCCGGCCAUCAGGAAAACAAACAAGCCUCAGCAACAUCUAAACCCUUGAAAGGAUCCUGAGAGGGGGGAAAGGGAAAUCAGCCACCAGCCCAACCACUCGUGUCUUCUGCCCCUCCCCACCUAUCUUGCCCACCCCACCAGCCCACGCUGCUUGGGACUUGAGAUCUGUGGCCGAAGGACCGUCACCACAUAACUUCAAAAAUAAUCAACCACCUUCCCUGCCCAAACCUACCCAAUCUCACUCAUCCAGCAUUUCCGUUUUGGAAUCCACUCAGACUUUUUUUUUCAACGACCCCCUCUCCCUAAAUGGAGUUGGGCGGGGGGGAAAUGAAAACUGAGUUGGUCUUUACUUUUUUUAAAAGAGACUUUUUGAUCCAAUGAGGCCCCACAAGUAACUGAGUUUGGGUCCUGGUUGGUUGCUUUAUUUUUUUUCCUCCAAAAUUUUACCCCUCCCCCCUGAGCCCGAGGUGCUGACGUCGCAAAAAAAUUGGAUAGUAAGUGUCGAAUUUUCAAAAACCAGCCUUGAACAAGAAAUCAACGUUUCCCGUUGUGAAACCAAAAAUAAUGAGAGGAAGAAAUGAGACCAUAGAACAAAUGUAGAGUACUGGAGAGAAGGACCAAUCGGGUCUCUUAAAUCUCCAUUAAAGGUCCUGUGGGUCUAAACAGU
This 904-nucleotide long non-coding RNA is filed under the name Mus musculus (house mouse). Its description in RNAcentral is "long non-coding RNA chr17:35916985-35917889". Lineage: Eukaryota; Metazoa; Chordata; Mammalia; Rodentia; Muridae. The record is from RNAcentral.